GUUAGUGUGGCAGAGCCCGGCAAGUGCAAAAGGCCUAAGCCCUUUCUACUGAGGUUCAAAUCCUCCCCCUAACU
Molecule: transfer RNA, 74 nt
Filed under: Chaunax abei
Lineage: Eukaryota; Metazoa; Chordata; Actinopteri; Lophiiformes; Chaunacidae
Also listed under: 4 other names
Description: tRNA-Leu
Rfam family: tRNA
About the family: Transfer RNA (tRNA) molecules are approximately 80 nucleotides in length. Their secondary structure includes four short double-helical elements and three loops (D, anti-codon, and T loops).
Source: RNAcentral